ACUCCUACGGGAGGCAGCAGUAGGGAAUAUUGGUCAAUGGGCGAAAGCCUGAACCAGCCAUGCCGCGUGUCAGAUGAAGGUCCUCUGGAUUGUAAAUGACUUUUCUACGGGAAGAAUGAGCCGUCUGCGGACGGAAGUUGACGGUACCGUAGGAAUAAGCACCGGCUAACUACGUGCCAGCAGCCGCGGUAAUACGUAGGGGUGCAAGCGUUGUCCGGAUUUACUGGGGUUUAAAAGGGUACGUAGGCGGUUGUGCCAAGUCUGGGGUGAAAGUUUGCAGCUCAACUGUAAAAUUGCCUUGGAUACUGGUCGGCUAGAGUAGUGGAGCGGUGGCUGGAAUUUAUAGUGUAGCGGUGAAAUGCUUAGAUACUAUGAGGAAACACCAAUUGCGAAGGCAGGUCACUGGUCACUAACUGACGCUGAGGUACGAAAGUGUGGGGAUCAAACAGGAUUAGAUACCCUGGUAGGAUA
This 471-nucleotide ribosomal RNA is filed under the name uncultured bacterium. Its description in RNAcentral is "bacterial SSU rRNA". It matches the Rfam family "Bacterial small subunit ribosomal RNA", at positions 335 to 797 of the family's 1533-position model. The record is from RNAcentral.